GAUGAACGCUGGCGGCGUGCCUAAUACAUGCAAGUCGAGCGAACAGACGAGGCGCUUGCUCCUCUGACGUUAGCGGCGGACGGGUGAGUAACACGUGUAUAACCUACCUAUAAGACUGGGAUAACUUCGGGAAACCGGCGCUAAUACCGGAUAAUAUAUUGAACCGCAUGGUGCAAUAGUGAAAGACGGUGUUGCUGUCACUUAUAGAUGGAUCCGCGCCGCAUUAGCUGGUUGGGAAGUUAACGGCUUACCAAGGCGACGAUGCGUGGCCGACGGGAGAGGGUGGUAGGCCACACUGGAGCUUGGACGCGGUCCAGACGCCUGCGGGAGGGAGCAGUCGGGAAUGUGCCGCAACGGGCGGGAGCCUUGCGGAGCAACGCCGCGUGAGUGACGAAGGUCUUCGGAUCGUAAAACUCUGUUAUUAGGUAUGAACAACUGUGUACGUAACCAUGCACUUAUUGACGGUACCUGGUCAGAAAGCCACGGCUAACUACGUG
Molecule: ribosomal RNA, 497 nt
Filed under: uncultured bacterium
Lineage: Bacteria
Description: partial 16S ribosomal RNA
Rfam family: Bacterial small subunit ribosomal RNA
Source: RNAcentral